CAGAGAUCUGGGGGGGAACCCGCAGUAUUGACAGGGGCUGACAGGAAGGGGGCGCCCAGCCCUGGGGCCCCUGAUUUCUGCCCCACCCACUCGCGGUUUUUGGUGUGGCCCCGCCUCCUGGAGUCUCAAACUGCCCGAGGCCACGAGAAGGUCACCGUGGAAAAGCGACCGGGGCUCAGAGGAAAAGAGUGUCCAUUUCGUGUCACCCGGGACACUCAGAGACGCUCUAGAAACCUUCUGAACGCAGGCCCUGCCCCAGCUUGGUUUGCAUGGGACACCUCAGAGGUCACCUCAUCGCCCGGAGGCCGUGGCCACGGAACAACAUCCGGCAGGUGGAUUCCUCCAGGCAAGCCGGCCGAGAAAGGCAGCUUUAAGACCAGGAGUUAGGCUGUUCCCGCACAUCUUCUUCCAAAGCUGACUCACAGUCGGCCUCUUCCAGGCAGCCCUGACUCCGGGCAAGAGGGCCCUCACCUGUGCGUGAUGCUCUGGAAUGUUCUUCCGUUAUGUCCCUGCCCAGGACGUGAAGCUCAGUUCUCAACGAGCUCGUGGAGAAGACCCAAGGCUGGAACUCAGAACCCGGAGAGCCUUCUGCCGCUGCCUUGCUCUCCGACCGUCAACACUCCUGUCCGUCGCCCUGCGACUUCCACCCCGGCCUGGUCAGUGGACUCCACCCGCGCCCAGCUGAAUGACAGACCCCGAUCCUCCUCUCAAGGCAGCGCUGACCCAACUCUGGGCCGCUGCUUGGUGGUGUUACGCUCCCUGCAAAUGUCUUCUGGAGACCGCACGAAGGACCGUGCCUGGCGCCUUCGCCGUCUCACCCGGUGCUUUGCUGGCAGCGGUUUCAGAGAGUAUCCGGAGAAGAUGGGCCACUCAUCUACCUACCCAUCCUUCCAUCCGUCCGUCCUUCCAUGCCCGGCCCCCUGACCCACUGGUUGAUUCCUCUCUGAAGCCUCGCUGCUAAACAGUGAACCGUUCAUCCGGGUUUUCAGUCUGACUUUCUUACUCUUUGCCGCGGGACACAGACCUGCCCCCAGGGAGAGGCCAUUGCGGGGGGCGGAGCCAUGGCGGGGACAG
RNAcentral lists this long non-coding RNA (1074 nucleotides) under Felis catus (domestic cat). Its description in RNAcentral is "lncRNA (ENSFCAG00000052110.1)". The record is from RNAcentral. Lineage: Eukaryota; Metazoa; Chordata; Mammalia; Carnivora; Felidae.